Non-coding RNA from Phasianus colchicus (ring-necked pheasant), 971 nucleotides. The record is from RefSeq and is a predicted model, not a curated record. Lineage: Eukaryota; Metazoa; Chordata; Aves; Galliformes; Phasianidae.
GACGGCAGGGCGGGAAGAACCGUUGGGGGCGACGGGGGGGGCUGUGCCCUUCUGUGUGGGUCCUGCCCGACCCCGUGCCGGGGAUCCACUCCUCUUCAUGCUUUAGUGAGCAGCCUCCGCGGGUUGCUAGGUGACAAGGGGCAGCGCCAUUCCUCCCCACAACGCCGCCACUGACUAAGGCGGGUGCCAAGGCGCUGGCGGGCAGCCGGAACAGCAGCGGAGUCGGAUUGCAUAAGCAUCCAGUUCUGCUGCUGGAAGGUGUUCGGCUCCGUCAGGUGUAAGUUUCUCCUUGCAAUCCCUGGACUGUGGUAGAAAGAAGUACAGAAAUGAUGAACUGUGCAAAGAAUCUUAUAAAUGCUGUGUCUACAAGGUGAACUCUAUCAGAACUGUUAUUGUAAAGAACAGACAGUAUUGCUACAGGUUAUAGAGUUUCUUCCUUGAGGAAAUCGAAUACUUUUACUUCUCUUGCACAGAUUUCUCAAACGAAAUGUCUUCUCCACAAUACUACAUUUCCUGGAUUUAUGAAGCCGUAAAGUCCACCAGAUUCAACUCUAGAGCUAAAAUGCAUCACAGCAACCAAAGCCUUAUUAUAGUCAUAAAAUUAAGUAGCACACAAAGAUUGAGGGAGAAAACAGGAUGCAGGCAGCAAAAAUUAUUUUUGACAUUUAUUCUUUGAAGAAUUGCAUAGGACAAAUUUCAAAUGGAGAAGAUUGCACUAGAAGGGAGGAAGACCCUGGAGGUCCCUAUUGAAACAGCCCAUACAACAAGAUUUGAGGUGAUGGCUAAACAGAAGUGGGAAGUGCUGUUUUCUUCCUGGUCUAACUUGACGAUGUGCAUCUUGAGUAUGAAGAGGGAAUAACAGGACAAGCUUAACUUAAUACAAAUGGAGGAAUUGCACUCUUCUGGCUCUGUGUGGAGUUAUUCCCUUUGCUUCCAAACCAGAGCACUAGUUGUUAGAAGGGGGAAAUGCG